CUCUCUUUUCUCGAACAGCCCAAACUGGCUCGCCUUUCCCUUUCCCUCUCCCUCCCUCCCUUGCCUCUUGCUCUACCUCUCUUCUCCAGUCCCAAGGGGUGGGUUUGGGGAGGGAGGGCUACACAGAGACAGGAGUGGGAGACGAAGGGGUGCGUCCACAGGAAGUGACCCUGAAGAAGAUGAGGAAGAAGAGCAGGAAGAUGAAGGCUCCCGGAGGGUUAUUGUUGUCACGGAAACAGACGUUGAUAAAAGGGUGGGGCUUAGGAGUCUUCUGAAGUCGCCAAGGGAGCCAGUUGACAAAGAAAAAGACAGGGGAAGAAACGUGUCCUUUUUUGAUGAUGUCACUGUUUAUCUCUUUGAUCAGGUAUUUGUGUGUUUUUCCCCCUCAUAUAUUAAGUCCAAAGUUUCUCAUUAGUAUUUAACUGUCAAUAUAUUUGAUGUUACUCUCUGUGUUUUAGUCCCUGACUCUUUCUCUCUGUUUGUGAUACAGGAAACUCCCAACCAGUGAGCUAAUUAGUUCCACCCCAACCAGUCCAGCUCCGGCUUCUGGCAAGAGCACUAAAUUUGAUUUACAUGGAGCAAACAGCAAAGGCAAAGACUCAAAAAGAAAAGGGGACUUGUCAAUCAAACCGCGGUCGGCCAUGGGGGCCAACCCAGUGACAUCGUCGCGUUUUACAGUCAGCCCAGCCGAUGACCCCCAUUUGGUGUGAGGCAGGGUUCUGGAAUCCUCCAAGGUUGUUCCAUAACCCCUGGAACAGGUACCCUCUGAGAUGGCCAGUGGAUUCCCAGCCCAACCAUAACCAUUCUCGGAGGCUAUUUUUUUAUCAAUCAUGCAAUUGAAAGAAGACUCCCAUUCUAGAAGCUGGACACAUUCCAGGUUUUACCAGCUACCGGUUCUUGUAUGUAAAAGGUUGUCAAUACAGUAACUCCCCCCUUUGCCACUGUAUUUUAGGAUUGAUUCAUAGACAUUGGCUGGAAGUGGUUUAUGGCAAAGGAAGUUUGUCCGAGGCCAAGAAGAUUGUGGAGCUUUGUAAAAUCUGAAAGGGAUUUGACGGCUAUGCAAUGGAGUCAUUGUGUACAGCUCACCUUUGUUUCUGUUGUCUUUUCCCUUUGUGUAUUACGGGAUGCACUUUCUUGGUUGUCUGUCUGUGUGUGAAAGCUUGGAUUGAAAUAUUUUCACUUUGUAAAAACGAUUGUCAUUGCAGUCAGUCAUGCUUCUGGGAAAGGUUGUGCAGUGAUGUGGUAAAAUAAAUAGGUGGGUAAACCCUGAUCACCCGGUCACAGUGAAAAAAGUAAUGCUCUCCAAACUUUCAAUGGAUUUUUCUGCAAAAGUAAACUGCAAACACUGUAUUUACUUGUGUCUACCCACCACUACACCACUGAAAUUGGGCCCAGAAAACAAGCUUAACUCCUGUGUUUGAGUGCUCAUUCAACAUGUCUACUGAGAUAGAAAUUCAAGUGUAAACAAUAUCAUUUUAGAGCUGCUUAAUUUAGAUGUAUUCUUAGACUGCACGAAAAUACGAUAACACCCUAUGUUAAUUUAUAGUGGGUACGAGUCUCUUUAGCUAACAUUGCACUCUCUCCUCAUACACCAUGUCAUAUGGAGUACCUGGAGUGGAAUGCCAGCUAGAUACUGGUACCCAGAGUAGUUUCUUUAUGCAUUUUCUUCUGAAAUACUGUCUUGCUAUAAUUUAUUGGAUUGCGUUUAUUUUUUAUUUUUUAUCCAUUCUGUGUAAAUAUUGUUUAUUUAUUUUGUUGCAACGGAUUUAUCUCUCAGAAUUGUUUGGGACAUAAUGUAUCUAAAUAAUACCUUCUAAAUUAAUAAUUCUUCAUAACAAAUAAAGUAAGAUAUUUUCCCAAACCUCGUAAUUAAAAAAAUAUAAUAUUUUGUAUAAUUUAAUUUCUUUAUAACUGCCACUCUGUACCUAAUGUAUGUCCUCUAACGUAUCUAUAACAAGUUUUAUUAUUUUUAUAUGAUUGCAUUUAUAGCCAUUAUCUUACUUUGUUUGACAACAAUUAAUGUAGCUUAGCAUGGUAAAAUGGAAGCCUCUCAUUGGUAAAUAUCUACAUAAAUUGAUGUAUCAGUUUAUUUACAUUCAUUUUGUACUAAUAACAUAAUGACCCAUCAUCCACUCAAGCUCCAAACAGUCCCACUUUAUUUUGUCUGUUUUAACGUUGGUUAAAAACCUGUAUUGUUUAAAUAAUGGGUUUCAUGGGAUACUGUAUAAAACCAGGGGAAAUAAAAACAACAUAAAAACUGUGAAACAUUUAUUGAACUGUUUGAUGAAAAUAAAUUGUACUGUCUUAUAUUUUUUAA
Molecule: long non-coding RNA, 2317 nt
Organism: Esox lucius (northern pike)
Lineage: Eukaryota; Metazoa; Chordata; Actinopteri; Esociformes; Esocidae
Source: Ensembl